RNAcentral lists this ribosomal RNA (497 nucleotides) under uncultured bacterium. RNAcentral's name for it is "partial 16S ribosomal RNA". It matches the Rfam family "Bacterial small subunit ribosomal RNA", at positions 28 to 507 of the family's 1533-position model. The record is from RNAcentral.
GAUGAACGCUGGCGGCGUGCCUAAUACAUGCAAGUCGAGCGAACGGACGAGAAGCUUGCUUCUCUGAUGUUAGCGGCGGACGGGUGAGUAACACGUGGAUAACCUACCUAUAAGACUGGGAUAACUUCGGGAAACCGGAGCUAAUACCGGAUAGUAUUUUGAACCGCAUGGUUCAAAAGUGAAAGACGGUCUUGCUGUCACUUAUAGAUGGAUCCGCGCUGCAUUAGCUAGUUGGUAAGGUAACGGCUUACCAAGGCAACGAUGCAUAGCCGACCUGAGAGGGUGAUCGGCCACACUGGAACUGAGACACGGUCCAGACUCCUACGGGAGGCAGCAGUAGGGAAUCUUCCGCAAUGGGCGAAAGCCUGACGGAGCAACGCCGCGUGAGUGAUGAAGGUCUUCGGAUCGUAAAACUCUGCUAUUAGGGAAGAACAUAUGUGUAAGUAACUGUGCACAUCUUGACGGUACCUAAUCAGAAAGCCACGGCUAACUACGUG